UACGGAGGAUCCGAGCGUUAUCCGGAUUUAUUGGGUUUAAAGGGUGCGUAGGCGGCCUAUUAAGUCAGGGGUGAAAGACGGUAGCUUAACUAUCGCAGUGCCUUUGAUACUGAUAGGCUUGAAUAUACUUGAGGUAGGCGGAAUGUGACAAGUAGCGGUGAAAUGCAUAGAUAUGUCACAGAACACCAAUUGCGAAGGCAGCUUACUAAAGUAUGAUUGACGCUGAGGCACGAAAGCGUGGGGAUCAAACAGG
RNAcentral lists this ribosomal RNA (253 nucleotides) under uncultured bacterium. Its description in RNAcentral is "partial 16S ribosomal RNA". It matches the Rfam family "Bacterial small subunit ribosomal RNA", at positions 524 to 776 of the family's 1533-position model. The record is from RNAcentral.